GACGUAGGGCGCGAGCGUUGUCCGGAUUUAUUGGGCGUAAAGAGCUCGUAGGCGGUUCGGUAAGUCGGGUGUGAAACCUCCAGGCUCAACCUGGAGACGCCACCUGAUACUGCUGUGACUCGAGUCCGGUAGGGGAGCGUGGAAUUCCUGGUGUAGCGGUGAAAUGCGCAGAUAUCAGGAGGAACACCAGCGGCGAAGGCGGCGCUCUGGGCCGGAACUGACGCUGAGGAGCGAAAGCGUGGGUAGCAAACAGG
This 254-nucleotide ribosomal RNA is filed under the name uncultured bacterium. Its description in RNAcentral is "partial 16S ribosomal RNA". It matches the Rfam family "Bacterial small subunit ribosomal RNA", at positions 524 to 776 of the family's 1533-position model. The record is from RNAcentral.